This 247-nucleotide ribosomal RNA is filed under the name uncultured bacterium. Its description in RNAcentral is "partial 16S ribosomal RNA". It matches the Rfam family "Bacterial small subunit ribosomal RNA", at positions 796 to 1041 of the family's 1533-position model. The record is from RNAcentral.
CACACCGUAAACGAUGGAUACUUGUUGUUGGAGGUAUUGACCCCUUCAGUGACGCAGUUAACACGGUAAGUAUCCCGCCUGGGGAGUACGGUCGCAAGAUUAAAACUCAAAGAAAUUGACGGGGGCCCGCACAAGCGGUGGAGUAUGUGGUUUAAUUCGAUGCAACGCGAAGAACCUUACCUAGGCUUGACAUGUACUGGAAGACUACCAGAAAUGGUGUCGCUCGCAAGAGUCGGUACACAGGUGC